Molecule: ribosomal RNA, 425 nt
Filed under: uncultured bacterium
Lineage: Bacteria
Description: partial 16S ribosomal RNA
Rfam family: Bacterial small subunit ribosomal RNA
Source: RNAcentral
GUGGGGAAUCUUGCGCAAUGGGCGAAAGCCUGACGCAGCCAUGCCGCGUGAAUGAUGAAGGUCUUAGGAUUGUAAAAUUCUUUCACCGGGGACGAUAAUGACGGUACCCGGAGAAGAAGCUCCGGCUAACUUCGUGCCAGCAGCCGCGGUAAUACGAAGGGGGCUAGCGUUGCUCGGAAUUACUGGGCGUAAAGGGCGCGUAGGCGGACAGCUUAGUCAGAGGUGAAAGCCCAGGGCUCAACCUUGGAAUUGCCUUUGAUACUGGCUGUCUUGAGUUUGGGAGAGGUGAGUGGAACUCCGAGUGUAGAGGUGAAAUUCGUAGAUAUUCGGAAGAACACCAGUGGCGAAGGCGACACACUGGCUCAUUACUGACGCUGAGGCGCGAAAGCGUGGGGAGCAAACAGGAUUAGAUACCCUUGUAGUCC